CGUUAUUUAUAGUGUCUUGAAGGGCCCGCGGUAUUUUGACCGUGCAAAGGUAGCAUAAUCAUUAGUUCUUUAAUUGUGAUCUGGAAUGAAUGGCUUGACGAGGCACGGGCUGUCUUAGUGUUGAAUGUUUUAUUGAAUUUGGUCUUUGAGUUAAAAUUCUUAAAUGUUUUUGUGGGACGAGAAGACCCUAUAGAGUUUGACAUUUGGUUUAUUUGUUGUUUGGUUGUUUGUUUGUUUUAUUGGUGAGUGGACUUUUUGUUUUGUUGGGGUGAUGAGAGGAAUAUGUUUAACUCCUCUUGGUUUUGGUUAUAUUGAUUUAUAGUUGUUUGAUCCAUUUAUUUUGAUUAUAAGACUAAAUUACCUUAGGGAUAACAGCGUUAUCUUCCUUGAGAGUUCUUAUCGGCAGGGAGGUUUGCGACCUCGAUGUUGGAUUAAGGUGAAUUUUUGGUGUAGGGGCUGAAAGUUGUAUUGGGUCUGUUCGACCUUUGAAAUCUUACAUGAUCUGAGUUCAAACCGGCGUGAGCCAGGUUGGUUUCUAUCUAUAAGUUUAGUUUUAUACCUUAGUACGAGAGGACCAGGUAU
Molecule: ribosomal RNA, 582 nt
Filed under: Coptotermes elisae
Lineage: Eukaryota; Metazoa; Arthropoda; Insecta; Blattodea; Rhinotermitidae
Description: partial 16S ribosomal RNA
Rfam family: Bacterial large subunit ribosomal RNA
Source: RNAcentral